CCUACGGGUGGCAGCAGUGAGGAAUAUUGGUCAAUGGACGAGAGUCUGAACCAGCCAAGUAGCGUGAAGGAUGACUGCCCUAUGGGUUGUAAACUUCUUUUAUAGGGGAAUAAAAUGUUCCACGUGUGGGAGUUUGUAUGUACCAUAUGAAUAAGGAUCGGCUAACUCCGUGCCAGCAGCCGCGGUAAUACGGAGGAUCCGAGCGUUAUCCGGAUUUAUUGGGUUUAAAGGGAGCGUAGGGGGAUUGUUAAGUCAGUUGUGAAAGUUUGCGGCUCAACCGUAAAAUUGCAGUUGAAACUGGCAGUCUUGCGUCCAGUAGAGGUGGGCGGCCUUCGUGGUGUAGCGG
This 346-nucleotide ribosomal RNA is filed under the name uncultured bacterium. Its description in RNAcentral is "partial 16S ribosomal RNA". It matches the Rfam family "Bacterial small subunit ribosomal RNA", at positions 338 to 681 of the family's 1533-position model. The record is from RNAcentral.